RNAcentral lists this ribosomal RNA (517 nucleotides) under Retiticulatihypha consobrina. RNAcentral's name for it is "eukaryotic LSU rRNA". It matches the Rfam family "Eukaryotic large subunit ribosomal RNA", at positions 117 to 655 of the family's 3401-position model. The record is from RNAcentral. Lineage: Eukaryota; Fungi; Ascomycota; Sordariomycetes; Xylariales; Diatrypaceae.
GAAAUCUGGCCCUCGGGUCCGAGUUGUAAUUUGUAGAGGAUGCUUUUGGUGCAGUGCCUUCCGAGUUCCUUGGAACAGGACGCCUUAGAGGGUGAGAGCCCCGUACGGUUGGACACUAAGCCUCUGUAAAGCUCCUUCGACGAGUCGAGUAGUUUGGGAAUGCUGCUCUAAAUGGGAGGUAAAUUUCUUCUAAAGCUAAAUACCGGCCAGAGACCGAUAGCGCACAAGUAGAGUGAUCGAAAGAUGAAAAGUACUUUGAAAAGAGGGUUAAAUAGCACGUGAAAUUGUUGAAAGGGAAGCGUUUAUGACCAGACCUUUGCCAGGCGGAUCAUCCGGUGUUCUUCACCGGUGCACUUCGCCUGGCUCAGGCCAGCAUCGAUUUUCGUAGGGGGAUAAAGGCCCUGGGAACGUAGCUCUCUUCGGGGAGUGUUAUAGCCCUAGGUGUAAUACCCUUAUGGGGAUCGAGGUUCGCGCUUCUGCAAGGAUGCUGGCGUAAUGGUCAUCAACGACCCGUCUU